UACGGAGGGGGCUAGCGUUGUUCGGAAUUACUGGGCGUAAAGCGCACGUAGGCGGACCAUCAAGUUGGGGGUGAAAUCCCGGGGCUCAACCCCGGAACUGCCUCCAAAACUGCUGGUCUGGAGGUCGAGAGAGGUGAGUGGAAUUCCGAGUGUAGGGGUGAAAUUCGUAGAUAUUCGGAGGAACACCAGUGGCGAAGGCGGCUCACUGGCUCGAUACUGACGCUGAGGUGCGAAAGCGUGGGGAGCAAACAGG
This 253-nucleotide ribosomal RNA is filed under the name uncultured bacterium. Its description in RNAcentral is "partial 16S ribosomal RNA". It matches the Rfam family "Bacterial small subunit ribosomal RNA", at positions 524 to 776 of the family's 1533-position model. The record is from RNAcentral.